UCUCCCCCAAAUCUCUUUCCCUAAUUAAUCGCCUUGUUUCCAACCUCUCGCCGUCGAGCUCACAAUUCCACCGCGUCGGCCCUGAUCUAUCCGACGUCGCCACUCAGAUCAGAUCCACUCCACCGCCCCACUUCUCGAUGCGGCCUCCAUUCCACUUCACUGGAGUACACGCAGGCCGCAGCUGCAGCAGGCGCCGAGUUGGACGCGGUUGCGGGCAGUUCGACCCCAUCAUGCGUGAGCGGCAAUCACACGUCGUCACCGGCGGCACUAUGUGCCACAGACUCCAGCUACUAUUGGCAUACGUGAUACGUCCUCAAUCUGCAUGCCCUAGGUAUUUUCUUUUUGGCAAUUCGUAUUACAAACCUGCAAACACAGCAGCUGCCAGAGCGUGUUUUUUUUUUACUCAAAUCAGUGUCUGCCCCAUAUCAUGGUUUAUCCCCCAGUUCAAGUUGAUGCAGGGUCACAAUUACUACUUAUGUUGGAUGAUACUUAUUCACAAAUUUCAGCACCUACAUAAUCUUUGCAGCAAGGAUGCUAAUUUUCGUUUUUAGAUUUCUAUGCUUCCACUAGGUCUCGCAUGUGUUGUGAUGUUAGGAUUUAUUUCAAGACUAAAAAUACGUCUUUACCGGCUUUUGCAACCCAUCUAAGGCUGGCAUGUACAACCUUAUGGUCAGCUAUUGUCAUAUUUAUUUGUGAUUUUUUAAUGUGCAGAGAACUACAAUCUAUGCCCAGGUUUGAGCGGCUAUUGUCGUCUUACACUGAUAAUAAAUUGCUGAUGGCCCGCUUCACUAUCAGAUCCUUUGUUGAUCCCUUUUUUUCUGACAACUCUAUUUGCUUCAGAGACUAAGCAGAUGCAAUGCUACUCAAACCCAGAGUGUCUAGUGCAAAUCUUCAACCGCGACCGUCAAACGAUCUGAUCCCAAAGGGGAAGUUCAAGGGCCUAAACUGGAUGAUGGAAGCUGUGGGUUCCGUUUCGGCAAAGGAGAGGUGGUAGUAGCAGCUACUUUGGUGGGUUCCUUCUCUUCACCAUUCGUGGUGCUCCUGGAUUACCUCAAGGACUUUGAGAAGUACCUGCUUGCUUGAGCAUCAUAUCGGAGAUGACGAUGCGGGCUACGACAUGAGCGGUGGGAUGCUAGGGCAUGAGUCUUAUUAGCAGUAGUGUCUGGUCCAUGCUAGAUAUUUCUAAAUGGUUGUCUCCUAAUCUAGAAGUGAAUCAGUCAACUGUCCUGAUUGGUUAUGCUAUUUGUCCUUGUCUUGUAAACAUCUAUGUUGACAGAUGAAAAGCUCAAAAUGUUAUAGGAUUGAGUCUGAGCUGCUGAAACUUGAUGCCAUCCGGCUGCUGUGCGUAAAAAUAAUGAGGAAAUAUAUGUACAACUGAGAUUUGCUCUUCAA
Long non-coding RNA from Triticum aestivum (bread wheat), 1392 nucleotides. RefSeq lists it as uncharacterized. NCBI's taxonomy places the organism in Eukaryota, Viridiplantae, Streptophyta, Magnoliopsida, Poales, Poaceae. The record is from RefSeq and is a predicted model, not a curated record. The transcript is spliced from 2 exons.